RNAcentral lists this unclassified non-coding RNA (1884 nucleotides) under Leishmania donovani. Its description in RNAcentral is "gene:LdHU3.17.1420(CDS-product:META_domain_contai ning_protein_putative)". Lineage: Eukaryota; Euglenozoa; Kinetoplastea; Trypanosomatida; Trypanosomatidae. The record is from RNAcentral.
CAGUGCCACAAGCCACUUGAAGCUCUUUCACCAAAAAAUCGCCGCAGCAAGAGAAAACAACACCAGCAAGCACACAAAGCACCCCGCAUAGCGCGCAGCAGUGCCCCCCCCCCCCCCCCCCCCCCCCCCCCCCCCCCCCCGCUUGAAGUGGCAACGAAGGAGACACCGAACAACACCAUCGGCCGUUCUGCCUCGCGACAGAGAACGCUUUGCGCGUUCAGCCCUCCCUCCCUAUUUGCUCUUUUCCGCCUUUUCUUUUCGCCACCGGAAAAUGGAGAUGAAACACUUGCUUGGCAAGCACAAGGUUGUGCUCGUCAACGGCAGGCCUGCACCGGCGGGUGUGACGGUGGAGUUCAAGGCCGGCGAGAACAGCGGAUCCGUCCACAUGCACGCGAGAGUGGCGAACAUCAUGAACGGCCAGUUGAGGCUCGAAAACCGCAAGCUCUCUGGUGCUCUCGUGUCAACGAUGAUGUUGGGCAGCGACGACCUGAUGAAUAUCGAGAACGCCCUCAGUCAGGGAUUCAUGGAGGGCAUGACAUACACGGUGAAGGACGGCGGCAAGUUGACGCUGCAGUCUAAAACACACAUCAUCAAGCUCGUUCCUGCGUAGAUGCGCGCCCCCUGUCUUAUUAUUAUUAUUAUUUUUUUUUUUUACGCCUCUCGUUCUCUCCCCUCUUUUCUACACUGCCCAUGUACGAGGUUCGCAUCGCACUCUUGCAUUCUGAUGCGUGCAUGCACCACAUACACAUGCACGCACACACACCCAAAGCAAAAGGCACGCGCAUGGCCAUUAUCGACAGAUGGGAGGGAGUGGGGUGGUGGUGGUGGUGAAUGGGGUGUUUUGUGUCACUUCGUACGGUCGACGGAGUCGAUUUGUUCGCCCCUCCCCCUCUCCACCUCUCUUUCGUUUGCGUUACUUUGACUGUGCCUAUUCGCUCUUUGUUUGGUUUUGCCUCAUCCCUGCUUUCAGUAUAUCUGUGAACCAUAUGGAAUAGGAAGGGGGAGAGGGAGGAGAGGGCUUAGGGGGGCUGAUGAGACGGGAGGUCGUGUAGGAACAGGGGGAAGGGAGAGAGGAGCCGUGGGGAUGGUUGGAAUAUUAAGUAGACGAUAUUACCAUCAUCUCCCUGGCUUUUACACACACAAACCUCCUCCUCCUCCGCCCCUCCCCUGCCUAUUCUGUCCUUCAGUCAUUCGCCUACACCGCGUCAUGGGGGCAGCCUGCUUCCGCCGCCUUCUCGCUUUCUUUCCUUUUCAUCACCCCCUUCCUCUCACGCUGGAUUGCUUGGUCUGUAGACGUGCUACGAAGACUGGGGACGAAGGAGAGGAAGGGGGUGGCGGUGUUUGUGGUGGAUGUGCGUGCAACGGCGGGGUUGCUCGAGUGGGAGGGCAACAUGAGGCGUGCCGAGGCCACUGUGCGCUCUGUUCAUCUCUUUGUGCUGUGCCUCUGUUCCAUUGGUCUUCGCGAGCUCUCUCUCUCUCUUUCCAUCAAGACGUUGCUCUCCCUCCAUCAUCCGCAUGUUUUUUCUGUCCUUUUCCUUUUGGGUUCCAUCCACUGGAACGACCCGCUGAUUUCUCUCCUCCUCCGUAUCUUAUGCACCUUAUAUACAUAUGCGUGCAUAUACACAUAUAUUAUAUGUAUAUAUAUAUAUGUGCCCUUCACCUACCGUAUUACUCCUGUGGUUUUGCGUGUGUCCUCUUCGGAGCUCUCUGUCUGUCCUCUACUCUCCGCCUUUCCUUCUUCUCUUGCCGCUGCACAUCUCUUCAUCUGUCUUUCUCCCUUGUGGAGGGUAGUUCGAUGAUGAGGCGCAUGCUCCGCCAAGACGAUUUGGAGUUGACGACGAACAGCAUCGAUUACGGAAUUUCGCCAGCAAAACCGCAGGCAAC